This 1353-nucleotide ribosomal RNA is filed under the name metagenome. Its description in RNAcentral is "bacterial LSU rRNA". It matches the Rfam family "Bacterial large subunit ribosomal RNA", at positions 1548 to 2925 of the family's 2925-position model. The record is from RNAcentral.
AGUGAUCGUCCCGCAAGGGGAUGUUGAGGCUACGGCCAAGACAGAUUGUUUGACAUCAACACCAAAAACCUCUCGUUUGUUCCCACGGUCGCCCGUACCGUAAACCGACACAGGUGGGUGGGUAGAGUAUACCCAGGCGCGUGAGUGAAACCUCGUUAAGGAACUCGGCAAUCUAGCCCCGUAACUUCGGAAGAAGGGGUGCCAGUCGCAAGACUGGCCGCAGUGAAGAGGGUCAACCGACUGUUUAACAAAAACACAGCACUCUGCCAAGUCGCAAGACUACGUAUAGGGUGUGACACGUGACCAAUGCGGAAAGAUUACGGUAAGAGGUUAGCGCAAGCGAAGCUUCGAGCCCAAGUCCCCGUGAAUGUCGGCCGUAACUAUAACGGUCCUAAGGUAGCGAAAUUCCUUGUCGGGUAAGUUCCGACCUGCACGAAUCGUGUAACGAGUUGACCGCUGUCUCAACGAGGAGCUCAGCGAAGUUGUAGUGGCGGUGAAGAUGCCGCCUACCCGCAGCAGGACGGAAAGACCCUAUGCACCUUUACUGUACGCUGUUACUGUUUUUUCGGUUUUAAUGCUUAGCGUAAGUGGUAGACUUUGAUUCAUUCCUUUCGGGGGAUGAUGAGUCGUCAAUGAAACACCACCCUUUGACACUGGAAAAUCUAACCUCUCGCCAUCAACUGGCAGAGGGACACUGGCAGCCGGUCAGUUUUACUGGGGCGGUAUCCUCCCAAAGAGUAACGGAGGAGUACGAAGGUUGGCUCAGCCUGGUUGGUAAUCAGGUGGCGAGUAUAUGGAUAUAAGCCAGCCUAACUGUGAGACCUACAAGUCGAGCAGGUGCGAAAGCAGGUCCAAGUGAUCCGGUGGUUGAAUGUGGAAUUGCCAUCGCUCAACGGACAAAAGGUACGCUAGGGAUAACAGCUGAUCGAGUCCAAGAGCUCAUAUCGACGACUCGGUUUGGCACCUCGAUGUCGGCUCAUCACAUCCUGGGGCUGGAGAAGGUCCCAAGGGUCCGGCUGUUCGCCGGUUAAAGUGGUACGCGAGCUGGGUUCAGAACGUCGCGAGACAGUUCGGUCCUUAUCCGCUGUGGGCGCAGGAAGAGUGAGGGGUUCACACCUUAGUACGAGAGGACCGGGUGUGACGAACCACUGGUGUUCCAGUUGUCCUGUCAAGGGCAGUGCUGGGUAGCUAUGUUCGGAAAGGAUAAGCGCUGAAAGCAUCUAAGCGCCAAGCCUCUCCCAAGAUGACUCUUCCCCGAAGGAUCGUGGCAGACCACCACGUUGAUAGGUUUCCGGUGUAAGCACAGUAAUGUGUUCAGCUGAGAAAUACUAAUAAUCCGUUCGGCUUGGUCAA